Molecule: ribosomal RNA, 479 nt
Filed under: uncultured bacterium
Lineage: Bacteria
Description: partial 16S ribosomal RNA
Rfam family: Bacterial small subunit ribosomal RNA
Source: RNAcentral
GAUGAACGCUGGCGGCGUGCUUAACACAUGCAAGUCGAACGAAGCACUUAAGAUUGCUUCUUCGGAUGACGUCUUUUGUGACUUAGUGGCGGACGGGUGAGUAACGCGUGGGUAACCUGCCUCACACAGGGGGAUAACAGUUAGAAAUGACUGCUAAUACCGCAUAACCCGAUAGGAUCGCAUGAUCCAGACGGAAAAGAUUUAUCGGUGUGAGAUGGACCCGCGUCUGAUUAGCUAGUUGGUGAGGUAACGGCCCACCAAGGCGACGAUCAGUAGCCGGCCUGGGAGGGUGAACGGCCACAUUGGGACUGAGACACGGCCCAAACUCCUACGGGAGGCAGCAGUGGGGAAUAUUGCACAAUGGGGGAAACCCUGAUGCAGCGACGCCGCGUGAGUGAAGAAGUAUUUCGGUAUGUAAAGCUCUAUCAGCAGGGAAGAAAAUGACGGUACCUGACUAAGAAGCCCCGGCUAACUACGUG